RNAcentral lists this long non-coding RNA (473 nucleotides) under Pan troglodytes (chimpanzee). RNAcentral describes it as "long non-coding RNA NONPTRT008450". Lineage: Eukaryota; Metazoa; Chordata; Mammalia; Primates; Hominidae. The record is from RNAcentral.
CGACACCAGCACUGCCGAGCUGUGUGACCUUGAGCAAGACAGUUAGCCUCUCUGAACCUCAGUGUCCUUCUCUGUAGGCUGGAGAUUGAUAUACCUUCAUUAUCGGGGUAUGAGAGUGUUAUAAAUCCAUGAACUGGAAGAUGCUUUCUUAUAACUCAGAGAAAAGAGAUGAAAAUGAAUCAAAGAACAGGAAGGAGACAAGCUCAGGAGGGUAAGACUCCUGGGAAUUUGGAAGCUGAGACUUGAGGAGCAGAGGCAUCUAGCUGUGUAAACACAGAGUUUCAGUGGCAGCACCCUAAAUGCUUAGCUGAUAGAUCCGGAAUUAAAUACAGACCUAGAAACUGGAGUUGGAAAACUUCCUGGCAGCACUCCUUCCCUGCCAUCCCGGUGAUCCCCUUCUGGAUGGAGGGCGUGGAGCUCAGCACAUUCACGUCUGCAGCCCUGAACUGCUUGUCUUUUGCCUUGUUAUCUUU